Molecule: transfer RNA, 72 nt
Filed under: Candidatus Niyogibacteria bacterium CG10_big_fil_rev_8_21_14_0_10_42_19
Lineage: Bacteria; Candidatus Niyogiibacteriota
Description: tRNA-Arg
Rfam family: tRNA
About the family: Transfer RNA (tRNA) molecules are approximately 80 nucleotides in length. Their secondary structure includes four short double-helical elements and three loops (D, anti-codon, and T loops).
Source: RNAcentral
GCCCUCAUGGUGAAAUGGAUAUCACGCGUGGCUUCGGACCACGAAUUCCGGGUUCGAGUCCUGGUGAGGGCA